GUUUAGGGGUAAACCUGAGAAACCCGAAAGGUCGAAGGGAGAAAUUCAAUAGCGUGUCGCGGCCGGCGAUUUGUGUGCGCUAGACGACGGACGGGCAGCCUCGCACUUUUAUGUCGUGGUCUGUUUCGGUCGGUCGCUUCGCACGUUUAUCGAUCCGGCGGCGAUCGCGUGCAUUUUUCUUCUGGUAGGACGUCGCGAUCCGUUGAGUCGUCGAUCUAAGACGGUUUUGUGCGGUAGAGUCCGUCGUCGGGCGUGCGGCAGCGCGCGUCCGUCACGACGGAUCCGCCCGAUCCGAUCGACUCGCUCGACGGUAUAUGAACGGUCACGGGUCGCUCGUAGCGAGCGUCGGAGUCGCGGCAAGGGCGCCGUUUGUUCAAGGACGUCGGAACGUUUUCGAGCGUUUUCGGUGUCUUCCGGCGAUCGGGAUCCGUCCCGAUUCCGGGCCUACGGCGCGUUGCUAGCCGCGAAAUUAGAUCUCCGACAGACCCGCUCUCGCGUCAAACCGAGGACCGAUCUGCGACGCUUUAGCUUUGGGUAAUUUCAGGACCCGUCUUGAAACACGGACCAAGGAGUCUAGCAUGUGCGCGAGUCAUUGGGAUUCGAAUGUCGAAACCUAAAGGCGCAAUGAAAGUGAAAUCCGUACCUCGCGGUACGGAUAGGGAAGAUGGAGGACGUGUCGGCGGAUUCGGGUUUCGACUUCGGUCCGUCGUUCGUCGUUCCCCGCAUUCCCGGGGCGUUUCGUUCGUUUACGAAACGAGGCGCACCAGGAGCGUACACGCUGGGACCCGAAAGAUGGUGAACUAUGCCUGGUCAGGACGAAGUCAGGGGAAACCCUGAUGGAGGUCCGUAGCGAUUCUGACGUGCAAAUCGAUCGUCGGAACUGGGUAUAGGGGCGAAAGACUAAUCGACCA
RNAcentral lists this ribosomal RNA (911 nucleotides) under Cenocephalus sp. BHJ-2011. Its description in RNAcentral is "eukaryotic LSU rRNA". It matches the Rfam family "Eukaryotic large subunit ribosomal RNA", at positions 407 to 942 of the family's 3401-position model. Lineage: Eukaryota; Metazoa; Arthropoda; Insecta; Coleoptera; Curculionidae. The record is from RNAcentral.